CAGCUGACAUCAUUUGGGCUGGGGUGCUCUGCCCUUGCGUCCCAUACCCACCCAUCGUCUGCACCAUCCAGAAGUUUCUCAAAGACAUUCUUCCGUGCUGGCACUAUUCCGGCUCCCCUGUGACCUCUGGUUCUCAUUUCAUAGCGCUUUGAUUUCGAAGGGAUGUGGAAAGGAGGAGAUAGAAACACGUAGACAGUCCCCCCUCUUGGACUGAAAAGGUGACGGUGAGACAUGGAACCCGAGGGAGAUGUCAGGGAGAGAUGGGACACGAAACCAACCCAGGAUCGACAAUAUUGCCACCGGGGGGCUCGGGAGAAGACAGUCAAGGAGGAGAUUUCCACCUGCAGAGAUUUUAGUCUUGAUGGGAGACGCCAGCAUCAUUGGCGUCCAGGCGCCAGUGUUGAGUGGAGAGCUGUGCUCGUGCUCCGGGGCAGCUUCACCUCUGCUGUUCGUGUUUAGCAUCUGCGUUCCCAUGGCAGCCAUUCCAGGAUUCCCGUAUCUUCCUCCUCCACGUAAUCCUCGUCGUCCUUCAAAGGCGAAAACUCGUUCCGUGUCCUGUGUGGGCAUCCGUGCAGACCGGUCUUGUCCACAUUGGCCGUACAGUCCACCGUACUUCGGACGAGCGCCCCCUAUGGACUAGGAUGCAGCAUUUCAUCCAGUCCCAUUGCCUUAAAAUUCGCAAUGCUUGAUGUCUCCAGUCCUGACCGCUACUCUGAGCUCUGAUGCAGAUGUCCAAGCACCUACUUGAAAUCCCUGCUUGGGUAGAGAAGAAUCUUGAAAUCAACAUGCCCAGAUGAAGUUCACGACUGCAUCUGUCUGAAAACCCAGCCAGACUUCCACCUCCAAAAUAGAUCACUGUUCCAUCAGUGCUCUCCGUGUGCUCCUGUAGGGUGCCUUUCACCUGCACCUGUCACCUGGAGCGAUGGAGACAGUUGUCUCAUGGGCCUCCCGCUUCCUCUCCCACCUCCCAACCAUGCUUCUGCUAGCAACCACAGUGACUUUUCAUAAACACGUCUCAGCUGGCGAUACAGCGUUCACCUUCUAAAGCAUGCUGAGGCUUCACGUUAGAACAAAAUAAAGCUCUUUCCCACGCCC
Leopardus geoffroyi (Geoffroy's cat) is the source of this 1095-nucleotide long non-coding RNA. RefSeq lists it as uncharacterized. NCBI's taxonomy places the organism in Eukaryota, Metazoa, Chordata, Mammalia, Carnivora, Felidae. The transcript is spliced from 3 exons. The record is from RefSeq and is a predicted model, not a curated record.